UUUGCACUCAUCGGGGAAGGGUGAGAACCUUCGACUAAGGUUCAACUCGAGCGAAAGCGAGAGAACGUUUUCACAGGCAACGGCCCGAAGGGUGAGGAGCGAAGCGACGAAUAAUCCUUUCCCCACCGCCA
RNAcentral lists this small RNA (131 nucleotides) under Escherichia coli. Its description in RNAcentral is "RtT sRNA". It matches the Rfam family "RtT RNA". Rfam says of the family: This family represents a bacterial cis-regulatory element known as RtT RNA. Lineage: Bacteria; Pseudomonadati; Pseudomonadota; Gammaproteobacteria; Enterobacterales; Enterobacteriaceae. The record is from RNAcentral.